Molecule: microRNA precursor, 76 nt
Filed under: Manihot esculenta (cassava)
Lineage: Eukaryota; Viridiplantae; Streptophyta; Magnoliopsida; Malpighiales; Euphorbiaceae
Description: miR396e stem-loop (mes-MIR396e)
Gene: mes-MIR396e
Source: miRBase by way of RNAcentral
GUCAUGCUUUUCCACAGCUUUCUUGAACUUUCUUUUACUGCUUAGGAAGCUCAAGAAAGCUGUGGGAGAACAUGGC